AGAGUUUGAUNNUGGCUCAGAUUGAACGCUGGCGGAAUGCUUUACACAUGCAAGUCGAACGGCAGCACGGGGCAACCUGGCGGCGAGUGGCGAACGGGUGAGUAAUACAUCGGAACGUGCCCAAUCGUGGGGGAUAACGUAGCGAAAGUUACGCUAAUACCGCAUACGAUCUACGGAUGAAAGCGGGGGAUCGCAAGACCUCGCGCGAAUGGAGCGGCCGAUGUCAGAUUAGGUAGUUGGUGGGGUAAAGGCUCACCAAGCCGACGAUCUGUAGCUGGUCUGAGAGGACGACCAGCCACACUGGGACUGAGACACGGCCCAGAUUGGGCACUCUAAUGAGACUGCCGGGUGACAAGCCGGAGGAAGGUGGGGAUGACGUCAAGUCCUCAUGGCCCUUAUAGGUGGGGCUACACACGUCAUACAAUGGCUGGUACAGAGGGUUGCCAACCCGCGAGGGGGAGCUAAUCCCAUAAAACCAGUCGUAGUCCGGAUCGCAGUCUGCAACUCGACUGCGUGAAGUCGGAAUCGCUAGUAAUCGCGGAUCAGAAUGUCGCGGUGAAUACGUUCCCGGGUCUUGUACACACCGCCCGUCACACCAUGGGAGCGGGUUCUGCCAGAAGUAGUUAGCCUAACCGCAAGGAGGGCGAUUACCACGGCAGGGUUCGUGACUGGGGUGAAGUCGUAACAAGGUAGCCGUAUCGGAAGGUGCGGCUGGAUCACCUCCUUU
Molecule: ribosomal RNA, 727 nt
Filed under: uncultured bacterium
Lineage: Bacteria
Description: 16S ribosomal RNA
Rfam family: Bacterial small subunit ribosomal RNA
Source: RNAcentral